This 154-nucleotide ribosomal RNA is filed under the name uncultured bacterium. Its description in RNAcentral is "partial 16S ribosomal RNA". It matches the Rfam family "Bacterial small subunit ribosomal RNA", at positions 355 to 524 of the family's 1533-position model. The record is from RNAcentral.
UGAGGAAAAUUGCACAAUGGGCGAAAGCCUGAUGCAGCAACGCUGCGUGCGGGACGAAGGCCUUCGGGUCGUAAACCUCUUUUCUGAGGGACGAGACAAGGACGGUACCUCAGGAAUAAGUCUCGGCUAACUACGUGCCAGCGGCCGCGGUAAA